CGAAAGCCUGACGGAGCAAGACCGCGUGAGGGAGGAAGGCUCUUGGGUUGUAAACCUCUUUUCUCAGGGAAGAAUACUGACGGUACCUGAGGAAUCAGCAUCGGCUAACUCCGUGCCAGCAGCCGCGGUAAGACGGAGGAUGCAAGCGUUAUCCGGAAUUAUUGGGCGUAAAGCGUCCGCAGGUGGCUGAUCAAGUCUGCAGUCAAAGACCGGGGCUUAACCCUGGAAAGGCAGUGGAAACUGAGAAGCUAGAGUGUGGCAGGGGCAGAGGGAAUUCCCGGUGUAGCGGUGAAAUGCGUAGAGAUCGGGAAGAACACCGGUGGCGAAAGCGCUCUGCUGGGCCACAACUGACACUCAGGGACGAAAGCUA
RNAcentral lists this ribosomal RNA (370 nucleotides) under uncultured cyanobacterium. RNAcentral's name for it is "bacterial SSU rRNA". It matches the Rfam family "Bacterial small subunit ribosomal RNA", at positions 376 to 762 of the family's 1533-position model. Lineage: Bacteria; Bacillati; Cyanobacteriota. The record is from RNAcentral.